RNAcentral lists this long non-coding RNA (2586 nucleotides) under Heterocephalus glaber (naked mole-rat). RNAcentral describes it as "lncRNA (ENSHGLG00000044738.1)". The record is from RNAcentral. Lineage: Eukaryota; Metazoa; Chordata; Mammalia; Rodentia; Bathyergidae.
UAGUCUGGGUUUUGGAGGCUCUCAGCUUGCUACGAAUGUCGACAAAGACUGUGGGGCCAGCAGAGUACGAGGACUUGGUCAGCAAAUGUGCUUCAGAGAAAUCAGAACUCACCUCAGAGCACACAGCAGCCUCCAGUCAGCAUCCCAGGCAUUUACUUGUUACUUCCUGGGUCACAAAUUCGCUCAGCCACCAAGAUUUCCAGUGGAAAGCUAGCAGCCAUUGCCAACACAGAACACAGCAAACCAAGCGGGCAGGCAGCAAACCAGUCUGGAGAAAAAUGGUUUUAGAGGCAGUCUGACACACUUAGUAUUUGUCACCAUCACCAGAGGCCACUGGGGCUGCUGCCACCCACACGCGUCUCUCUCCACAAGAACCAUCCGUCUCUUAAGAGGACAGAAGCCCCAGGACGGUGCAGGAAGACACUGUUCCCUAUUUGUGAAUACUUUAUUAGAAAGCUUUACAACAAUACAGAAAUUAAAUCAUGUUUAGCAAGAAGUUGUCAGAUUGCUUUUAUUCAGAAUAACGUGACGUGAUGCAGACAGCACGGGCCAUGAGGCUGUCCUACUCCUAGCACCUCGGCUGUGCCCAAAGACACUGCCAAGCUGACAUCGUGUGCGGCAGUCAACUGGCCCAAAACGGGGCGUGACAGGCUCUUCCCAUCGGACAGCCGCUUCUAAGAUGCAGGUGGGCAUCCUGGGUGCCAUGGAGACCAGCCACCAGUGAGUGGGGUGAAGCCCGAGAGAGAGGCCAGGAAACCCAACCUCACAGCCAUGGCGACUGGGUGUAAAAAGCCACGCUGGGGAAAAAGCCAUGCGGUCUGGGGCAUCAUCACGACUAAUAUCGGCUAACUAGCUGGAGACUAUUGUUAGCCAUUACCCCACCACAGCCCGGGCUGACCUUGGGCGGGAGAGCAACAUUCAGACAUUUGUUGCGUCUGGAGCAACAGGCCAGGGUGUAAGGGGAGCCAGCGACCUUCCCAGGACGGCCAGGCUCGCCAGGGCUCCCGCAUGGGCUGCUCUGUCCCGCCAACCCGGCUGGUGCCCAUCAGGAGCCUGUCUAGCACCUCUGUUUUCUCCUCACUUGGUUCUGAUGAUUUCUCCCACCCUACCCCCACAUUUGCACACUCAGAUACAAACACAAGCCUGCCGACGCGGACCGACAUGGAACCAAACCGCAUCCAUAGGGUAAACGCACCAGACGGCAGCUAUCAGGCCACAGCCAGCCAAGCGCUCACCUGUCCGGUCGUCCACGGUCCCGGCCCGCCUUGAGGCUCGGGCUGCAGCCCUGGCUCCUGGACCCCAGAGACUGGCCUCGACCGUGCAGAGCUUCGGCGUGGGCACCAAGCGAUCCAACCCUGCGGCCGGGGUGCCGAGACGCACAGUUAGCACCUGCGACACAGCGCGACCCCGGCGCCGCGUCCCGCCUCAGGGCGCUCGCGGUUGGGAGGCCAGGACCCCUGCGUCAGCCGCGGUCAGCCCGGGACUGCGGACGUCGGGGCCCCGCGCGGUCCCGGCCGAGGCUGCGGACGCACAGGCACCAGCGGCGGCCCCAGACGGAGGGACCGAGGCGCCAGCCCUGCCCCGCUCCCCCGGCGCGCGGGUCCGCUGCCACCGCCCCCGGCUCCGAAAGGCCGCCGGGCCCGGCCCCCACUUGCCCAGAGUUUUCCGGCGCGCUCGACCCAGGGCCGCGGGGUAACCAGGCAGCGCUGAGCCUGCACCUCGUCGUCAGCCGACUGUCCCGCUGCUCAGGACCCAGGCCAGGCCGCCCCGCCGCGCCCGAGCCCACCCGGCCGCCCGUCGCGACCCCGGCUCUGGUCCAGGCCGCUGCACUGCCUACAGGGAGCCGUAGUUCGCGGACCUGGGCCAGUGGGCGGGGCGGGAGCUCCCAGGAGCGCCUGCGCAUAACGCAGGCAGCACCGCGCAAGGGGGCGGGGCGGGAGCUCCCAGGAGACCCCGCGCGUGUGACAUUCCCGGCGCAGACUCGAGUGUACGGUUGCGAUCGAACGGGUGGGCCUGGGCCGGCCGGGCCUGGGGCCUUCUGUGUCUGCGCGAUCGCCUCCUGGCAAAGAAGGCCACAUAGUGAGGAGAGGACGGUCCUCAGAAAGAGAGAGACUCGCGCCUGACGGUCAACUGGGCGAGCGGACACCGGGCACAGAAAGGGGCCGUGGGGAAGUCCCAGUAGAUGAAUGGAGGUUGGCUCCCCCUGGUGUGUCGGUAAACCUCAGACGCACAGUGGAACUGCUGAGGCUCAGGAACUAGUUUGAGGAGUGCCACCGCGACAGAUUGGCUGGAGUCGUUGUUUGACUGUAUGUGAAUGAUAUGGACAGUGGAAAGGCUCUGACCUGACCAAGGGCCCAAAGGGAGACAAAGAGGACUGCGAGGACCAGGCAACCUCAUGCAAGAACCAAGGGACCCUCUGGAGUCCCUGCCCCAGCCUGCAAUUCCCAGCUACACUGGACCUGCAGCUCUGCCUCAACGUGAGCCAGCACCAGCCUAGGAGGACCCAGUCCCUGACACUGCAGCUGCACCAGGAGAAAAAGACUGACUUUAUCCUUGGUUUGAGAGAAAAUUAAAAUGGAAACAAAG